RNAcentral lists this long non-coding RNA (74 nucleotides) under Castor canadensis (American beaver). Its description in RNAcentral is "Six3os1 conserved region 3 (ENSCCNG00000007820.1)". It matches the Rfam family "Six3os1 conserved region 3". The record is from RNAcentral. Lineage: Eukaryota; Metazoa; Chordata; Mammalia; Rodentia; Castoridae.
AGAAUCCAUUUGGGGUCCGCCAGAUCCGGAUCUGCGAGAGGUGGACACACAAAACCAAAAGCCAAGUUGGGAUA